Molecule: unclassified non-coding RNA, 117 nt
Organism: Pongo abelii (Sumatran orangutan)
Lineage: Eukaryota; Metazoa; Chordata; Mammalia; Primates; Hominidae
Rfam family: Metazoan signal recognition particle RNA
About the family: The signal recognition particle (SRP) is a universally conserved ribonucleoprotein.
Source: Ensembl
GCCAGGCAUGGUGGCUCAUGCCUGUAAUCCCAGUACUUUGGGAGGCCGAGGUGGGUGGAUCACCUGAGGUCAGGGGUUCAAGGCCAGCCUGGCCGACAUGGUGAAAACCUACCUCUA